Molecule: long non-coding RNA, 1379 nt
Organism: Salvelinus sp. IW2-2015
Lineage: Eukaryota; Metazoa; Chordata; Actinopteri; Salmoniformes; Salmonidae
Source: RefSeq, a predicted model, not a curated record
UACGUAACUGGGUGUGCUUUUGUGUAACUGGUUUGGUAACAGCAGAUCGACUGUACUACUAAAAGACAUCGAUCAAGCAGCAAAACAUUCCUCUAUCUGGCGACAAAAACAUCCCUUUUCUGAGGAGAAAGAAGAACAGACUCUCGCGCCAUGGUCUGACUGCUGAUCAAAGCCAGCAUCUGGACGGUGAGGAAGAUUCGGGCCCACAUUGCUGAGGGAGAGCAAGAGGAGAAGCCCAUCUUCACACCAUGUGGUGUUAUUGGUUUUAAGAAGGAGCAGUUGACAUCAGGUUCUGAUCCACCGGCGGCCAUAAUGACCCCUGAACCUGAUGAUGGUAUCGCUAACGGCGGCCCGGCGCCGUCGUCAGAGACAGCCGUGCAGAAGUGCGGAUCCUGAGGUUAAAGGUCACACUGGAUAACUGGCUGGGACCAAUAAAUGAUUAUUAAGCAUGUCUUGAAAAAGGAUGCAUUUACAGAACUGUAUGUCGACAGACGCAGUCGCCCUGGUCCUCGCUCCCAGACAACUUUGCAGUAUUUAGAUUUGUUUGUGUUAUUUCUUACCUUAUUUACUCAGAACAUUUCUAGUAUUGUUACUUACACCCGGAAAAAAACUUUUGGACGUUUUAAUCAGGGAAAUUCUACUUCCCUGAUCUGGACUGUCUAUAAACAACAUUCACAUACAUUAUUCUGAUAGUCUUCAUUUCUUUUUCAAAAGUUUGGAUUAUGUAUGUAUUGUAUUACUAGAAACAUAAGCAUUUCGCUGCACCUGCAAAUCUGUACGCGACCAAUAAACUUUGAUUACUUUUUUGUAUAGCCCAACACGCUCUUACUUAAAUUUACUGACCUUAGUCAAAGCGUUCCCAUACAAAAUGUCACUAUGACCAUAAUGAUGACUAGUUUUGAGAUCAAAUUAUGACAUGACAAGUCAUUCCAUUUAAUUUGUGUUGUGUAGGUUUCUGAACCCAAGUAUCCUAAUACGAUAUCGCAAAAUAAAAAGUUUAUUAUUUACUGAUCUAUAGAAGAUAUUCUUUAACAGCCCUCCAACUGAAAAACGUUUAUGUUGUCAUGCCCUUGCUGUCCCAGCCUCUGUCCAGUGUGCCCAUACUCAGCGGACCAAAUACUAAACUGAGAUACCUGCUGUAAUUCCAACUUUCACUCACAUCAGUCACUAAAUCAGUGUGAAGAUUGUGUGAAGUUAGGACAUUUUCAUAUACACUGAUCUCAGGUCAAUAUUGGGUCCAGUGAGCUCUGUUUAACUUCUGACACCAGAUGACCCUUGUGGCUGCAGCGUGUGACGGCCUGCUCACCAACCCCUCCACCCAGGGACUGAGCGGUUCUGAUGCCCCUGCUGCAGCUUCCCCAAUAAAAACUUGAAAACUA